This 253-nucleotide ribosomal RNA is filed under the name uncultured bacterium. RNAcentral describes it as "partial 16S ribosomal RNA". It matches the Rfam family "Bacterial small subunit ribosomal RNA", at positions 524 to 776 of the family's 1533-position model. The record is from RNAcentral.
UACAGAGGGUGCAAGCGUUAAUCGGAUUUACUGGGCGUAAAGCGCGCGUAGGCGGCUAAUUAAGUCAAAUGUGAAAUCCCCGAGCUUAACUUGGGAAUUGCAUUCGAUACUGGUUAGCUAGAGUGUGGGAGAGGAUGGUAGAAUUCCAGGUGUAGCGGUGAAACGCGUAGAGAUCUGGAGGAAUACCGAUGGCGAAGGCAGCCAUCUGGCCUAACACUGACGCUGAGGUGCGAAAGCAUGGGGAGCAAACAGG